CGUUCCAGUGGUAUCUCCUAACCAUAUUCAUAAAAUUACAGAACUUUAAGGAAAAGGAGACUUCCAGUCUCCUUUUUUAAAAUAGAUCAAUUAAAAUAAGUUGGAUACCUAGAGUCACAGGUUAUUUGGGGGGACAAUCCCUUAAUAUUGUUAUUUAUAUGUGCCUACUUAAACUUGGUAGCUUUUUGAGACCUAAAAUGCUAUUCUUGUUUUCCUUAAAAAUAGGAAAUGUGGAGGGAUCCUUUGCAAGCAUGAAAAGGAAAACCAGUUCAGGAACAGAAAGGGCUUCCCUGGUGGCGCAGUGGAUGAGAGUCCGCCUGCCGAUGCAGGGGACAUGGGCUCGUGCCCCGGUCCGGGAAGAUUCCACAUGCCGUGGAGCAGCUAGACCCGUGAGCAAUGACCGCUGAGCCUGCGCGUCCGGAGCCUGUGCUCCGCAACGGGAGAGGCCACAACAGUGAGAGGCCCGCAUACCGAAAAAAAAAAAAAAAAAAAAAAGGAACAGAAAGAAGAAAUGGUGAUUUCACAGAUUUGAAGAAUGAACAGGUGUAGAAAUGAAACAAAUUUUUUUUUUGGCAUUUGCAGAACCUUGUAUAGUCUUCUGCAAACCAUCAGGAGGCUGCAUCUCUUCCUUCUUUGAACUUACACUGAAAUUUUUAUUCCCUUCGUGGCAUCAAGACACUCUACUUGUUCAAUCACUAUACUAGGAAAAGUUAAGUUCCAGUAAUAGCUACACAGCAGGAUGUCAUUUGGAAAUUUAAUGUGCUACAAUCCAGUGAUGCCACCGGUGUUGUUACUGAGGUCUGCAGUGUUGUGCUUCUCUGCUUUUUCAGUGAUUCUCUCCUUCCUUCCCCAUUAGUCUUAAGAACAAGAGGUUUUAGUCCUCGUGUCCAAAGUUAACUCUUCCACUGCUUCCUCUGGGAUAGAAUUCCUUUAAAAAUAAAUCCUUUACCUUAAAAAAUGUAUAGGUUUUCCCACCUUGAAAAACUCACAAAUAACUUUAUCCUACUGUGUCAAUGAUUUUUUUCUAUAAUGUACAAAGAUAAAAUUAUCAUUUCUAGACUAUAAACUCCUUAAGAGCAGGGACUGACAGUGGUUAUCUUUUAUAAUAGCCAGUACAGUGCCGACAAUGAAGAGAAUGUACAAUAAAUGUUGAGUUAUUUCUCAAAUUAAAUUAUUAGCUUACAAAUUCAAUAAAAAUUUUAGGAGUCAUGAGUCCUCUUGUCCUAUUAUUACCCCGUGAGGAAAAACAGGUUUGAUUUGGAUUUACCCCAGUCUAUUUACAUAUAUAUAAUAACAUCCGAUUAUAAUAGCUAUCAGCAAUGUGUUCUUCCUCCAAAAGACAUCAGCACAAUUUUGAUCCUAAGGCAAGCUCUUUAAGAUGCCAAAGUAAAAAUACCAAAACCUACUUCAUUCUUAUGAGGAGAGGGGAGGUAGUCUAGAGGGAGAGACAAAAGCACCAUGGCCAACAACUAAGCAACUA
This is a long non-coding RNA of Physeter macrocephalus (sperm whale), 1480 nucleotides long. RefSeq lists it as uncharacterized. The record is from RefSeq and is a predicted model, not a curated record. NCBI's taxonomy places the organism in Eukaryota, Metazoa, Chordata, Mammalia, Artiodactyla, Physeteridae. The transcript has 4 exons.